RNAcentral lists this ribosomal RNA (489 nucleotides) under uncultured bacterium. RNAcentral's name for it is "bacterial SSU rRNA". It matches the Rfam family "Bacterial small subunit ribosomal RNA", at positions 29 to 506 of the family's 1533-position model. The record is from RNAcentral.
AACGAACGCUGGCGGCGCGCCUAAUACAUGCAAGUCGAGCGAGAAGACGUAGCAAUACGUUUGUAAAGCGGCGAACGGGUGAGGAAUACAUGGGUAACCUACCCUCGAGUGGGGAAUAACUAGCCGAAAGGUUAGCUAAUACCGCGUACGCUCCUUGGACUUCGGUUCAGGGAGGAAAGCGAUACCGUGGGUAUCGCGCUCUUGGAUGGGCUCAUGUCCUAUCAGCUUGUUGGUGAGGUAACGGCUCACCAAGGCUUCGACGGGUAGCUGGUCUGAGAGGACGAUCAGCCACACUGGCACUGCGACACGGGCCAGACUCCUACGGGAGGCAGCAGUAAGGAAUAUUGCGCAAUGGGCGAAAGCCUGACGCAGCGACGCCGCGUGGGGGAUGAAGGUCCUCUGGAUUGUAAACUUCUUUUAUAUGGGAACGAAAAAGGCUUUUCUAAGUCGUCUGACGGUACCAUAUGAAUAAGCACCGGCUAACUCCGU